Molecule: long non-coding RNA, 266 nt
Organism: Sphaerodactylus townsendi
Lineage: Eukaryota; Metazoa; Chordata; Lepidosauria; Squamata; Sphaerodactylidae
Exons: 3
Source: RefSeq, a predicted model, not a curated record
GCAGCCGCGGGUAGCGGAGGCAGCCCGGAGCCCCGCACGGCCCCGCUGCGCCUCGCCUCGCCUCGCCCGCGCCUCAGCCCGCCCUGCGCCCCCCGCAGCCCCCCCCGCCCGGAGCCUUCCCCGCCGCAGGUCGCGCGGCGCUGCGAGCGCCCCCCAGGUAGCCACAGCGCUCAGCCAUGACGGACACGGUGGUUGGCAACAGUACUGGCCAGUGGAGGUACCAGAAUGAGAGGCAGAUGGCCCAUCGGACCGGUGGAAAAGAACAG